Long non-coding RNA from Equus caballus (horse), 2269 nucleotides. The record is from Ensembl. NCBI's taxonomy places the organism in Eukaryota, Metazoa, Chordata, Mammalia, Perissodactyla, Equidae.
UUUGCAGUCCGCAAAGCUCUAAGUACCCAUACAUCCAGGUACACAAAUGCAAACUGGGGACGCCACUCGCUCAGUCUGCCACUUGCUCCCUGACACAUAAAGGAAGCCCUCCCCAUCACGCUGUCACACAGGAAAUUCCAGAUGUUCACACUGUCCCCGGCCGUCACUCACCUACAGCCGCAUCCAUUCACACUGUCACACACACAAUUCCUUCUGUUUGGAGGUUCCCCCCAGCCCUGGUCACAGGAAGCUCCUGAUGGGGGAUGUUGGGGGGGGGGUUGGGAAUGAGUUAUUGAACCUCCCAGCUGUGGACAGCUGCCUGGACACGGGAUGGAAGGACCGCGCGCCGCCUGUCUGAUGAGUGAGGCUCAAGAAAAACAGUGUGAAUGUUACCCUCAGGGCACAUCUCAUUUUGGACCAGCCACAUUUUAAGCUCUCAAGAUCCACACGCGGACAAGUGGCUGCCACAUCCGACCGUGCAGAAGAGGAUGAUGGCGCCAUCGGAGAUCUGGAGGGUGGCUUCCUCAAAGUCCAGAUUUAACAGGUGACAGUGUGCCUCCAGGAGACAGCGUGGCUACGGUCAAGACCCUGGAGUCUGCAGCCAGACUGUGGGGUUCAGAUACUAGUUCUGGAACUUGCAAGUUGCAGCUCCAACUUGAAAGGGGAACCACCCACAAGGCCUCAGAGGGAUGUUGUGAAGAUUAAACGAAUGAAUAAGCAUGGAACACUGAGAACAGGGCCUGGCACAUAUUAAGGGCGGUGUGAGGGUUGACUUUUAUUACCGAUUGGAGAUUCAGGAAAGAGAAAAUCUCUCGGGUCCACAUGAAAAGUUGAAGAAUGAACACUCCUUGCAAAACUUCUCAUCCUCAAAGUGGAGGAUGCCCAGGCCAUGGGGGCGCACACAACUUGUCACACGCGUGUGGGAUGCACGGGCCACUCCGGGUCCCCCAGGGCGAGUGUGCCCGCCGUCCCUGCUGGAACGGGCCUGCGCCAUCCCAAAGCUUUGGCCGCCUCCCAGUGUCAACGCUGCCGCCUGUUCUCCGGUCCUCACUUUUCUGUUCUAAUCUGUGCAGUGACUUGAAUGGCGUGCGCCACCUCCCCCCCCCCCCCCCCCCCCCCCCCCCCCCCGUCCCAGAUGGGUCCACCUGAGACCUGUGCAUGUGAGCUUCUUUGAAAAAAGGGUCUUUGCGGAUGCUAUUCAGGUGAGGAUCUCAGAUGAGCUCCUCCUGGAUUAUCAGGACAGGCCCUGAACCUGACAGCAAGCAUCCUUAGACGAGAAAGGCAGAGGGCGACGGGACACAGAGCAGAAGAGACGCCACGUGAAGAUGGAGGCAGAGACUGCGUGAGGCAGCCAAGCUAAGGGCGCCUGAGGCCGCCAGAGGCUGGAGGAGAAGAGCAGGAUCCUCCCCAGAACCUUUGGAGGGAGGGUGGCUCCGCUGACACUUUGAUUUAGGACUUCCGGCCUCCAGAGAAUAAAUUUCUUUUGUUUUAAGCUACCAAGUUGGUAGUAAUUUGUUACAGCAGCACAGGAAAUGAAUACAAUCUGUUUGGGGGCCUGCCUCCUCCACCCUGAAGGCAGAGUUUCUAUGGCUUUCAGAUACCAUCUCCUCCAGCCCUCCCUCACAGGAGGAAACUGAGGCUGGGAAAGAGGGCGGGGCCGGAACUAGACCUCAGGCCCCCAGCUCAAGGGGUCUCUGUGGAAACUUGCAGAGUAUUUUGCCUCUUGAAAACAUACAGAAUUUUCUCUUUUUUUUUGAGGAAGAUUAGCCCUGAGUUAACUACUGCCAAUCCUCCUCUUUUUGCUGAGGAAGACUGGCCCUGAGCUAAGAUCUGUGCCCAUCUUCCUCUACUUUAUAUGUGGGAUGCCUACCACAGCAUGGCGUGCCAAGCGGUGCCAUGUCUGCACCCAGGAUCCGAACCAGUGAACCCCAGGCCACCAGGAAGAGGAAUGUGCAAACUUAACCGCUAUGCCACCGGGCCGGCCCCAGUGGUGGAGAACAUAAGCUUCAGUUUGGUUUGGUUGCUUCUUUGCUGUGUGGCCUUAGGCAAGAGACGAACCUCUCUGUACUUUAGUUUUUCCCUCUCUAAAAUGAAAAGAACAGGAUAAGUCAUCUCAGAAGGUUGCCAUGUGGAGUAUGUGAGCAUUGAUCAACUUUACCAUGUGACAUAAUCCUGGAAGUCUCUGCAAAUACUAUAAGACAAGAAAAAUAAAUGAGAGGUAAAGAUCAGAAGGCAGGAGAUAAAACUGUCAUUUGGAUCUUUUUUUUUU